AGAGAGAGACAUGCGCGCAUAUCAAUAAGCGGAGGAAAAGAAACUAACAAGGAUUCCCUUAGUAACGGCGAGUGAAGCGGGAAGAGCUCAAAUUUGAAAUCUUCAAGGUUUUACCUUGACGAAUUGUAGUUUAAAGAAGUGUUUUCUGCUGAAGUUUUGGUAAAAGUUCUUUGGAAUAGGACAUCAUAGAGGGUGAGAAUCCCGUAUUUGACCAUUAUUUUCAGCUUUGUGAUACACUUUCAAAGAGUCGGAUUGUUUGGGAAUGCAGUCCAAAAUGGGUGGUAAAUUUCAUCUAAAGCUAAAUAUUGGCGAGAGACCGAUAGCGAACAAGUACCGUGAGGGAAAGAUGAAAAGAACUUUGAAAAGAGAGUUAAACAGUACGUGAAAUUGUCAAAAGGGAAGCGUUUGACACCAGUGUUGUUUUCUCGAAAAUCAAUUAAAAAUGGCUCGAUUUUGUAUUGCUUGAGACCUUAAAAGCUCACUGUACAUUUUUCGUGUCUUUUUUAAUGCACUUUUCGUUUAACAAGUCAACAUCAGUUUCUUUUAUUGUAAAAGGGUCAUUGGAAGGUGGCUUUCUUUUCGGAGAAAGUGUUUAUAGCCUUUGGCCUCUGCAAUCGAAGAGACUGAGGUCUGCAGCGUAGACUCUUCGGGGUUAGAUACAUUUGUGCUAAGUUAUAGCUUUUUAUAGACAACUUGUUGACUAUAAUUAGUCUUGUAGCUUACUCGCUUAUGCUAUUUUACCUACGCUUAGGAUGUUGAGUCGUAGAGCACGCAG
Molecule: ribosomal RNA, 775 nt
Filed under: uncultured Neocallimastigales
Lineage: Eukaryota; Fungi; Neocallimastigomycota; Neocallimastigomycetes; Neocallimastigales
Description: partial large subunit ribosomal RNA
Rfam family: Eukaryotic large subunit ribosomal RNA
Source: RNAcentral